Molecule: transfer RNA, 74 nt
Filed under: Nitrospirae bacterium GWC2_57_13
Lineage: Bacteria; Pseudomonadati; Nitrospirota
Also listed under: 2 other names
Description: tRNA-Gln
Rfam family: tRNA
About the family: Transfer RNA (tRNA) molecules are approximately 80 nucleotides in length. Their secondary structure includes four short double-helical elements and three loops (D, anti-codon, and T loops).
Source: RNAcentral
UCGGGGGUCGUCUAAUGGUAGGACAGAGGCCUUUGAAGCCUUGAAUCGGGGUUCGACUCCCUGCCCCCGAACCA